AACCAUCAUCAUAUCAGCAUCGUCAUCCUCCUCCUCCGGACAAGCCUUACAAUGCCCAGAAGAUAAAAGCUCUUAGGAAACAAGAAUCUUUCUUUCUUAAUGGUAGAGCUGUGAGAGCUGACCCAGAACCUGAACUGAAUGCCCUGGUAAACAUCGGACUGACAUCUCCUUUCAAACAUUCAUUGAGGAUCUACUCUGUGAGAAGAAGCAAUACCAUGUUAUCUCAUUCUAGUUCCAGUUCUAGUUGACUUGAUUGUCAAACGAC
RNAcentral lists this long non-coding RNA (265 nucleotides) under Homo sapiens (human). RNAcentral's name for it is "HSALNT0125750". Lineage: Eukaryota; Metazoa; Chordata; Mammalia; Primates; Hominidae. The record is from RNAcentral.